RNAcentral lists this long non-coding RNA (1541 nucleotides) under Homo sapiens (human). RNAcentral's name for it is "HSALNT0406305". Lineage: Eukaryota; Metazoa; Chordata; Mammalia; Primates; Hominidae. The record is from RNAcentral.
AUCCCUUUGGUUGAAAACUACAUUCUUCACUUCUCUCUUGGAACAAAAAACAUCUUCAAGUUAUUUAACAUAUAACUGAAUGACUUUAGAGAUUGUAUAUUUCCACGCAAAGUGAGGAAAGAUCUCAUUGGCUCUCUGCUUGCUAGAAUGUGACAAAAUAAUUACUCUGUAUUGAAUAAGGAUGUGUUUUGUUAAAAAAUUCCAUUAUUUCCAUGGUAAUAAAGUAGAAAGAUUUUAUAUGGGUUUCUACUAUGUCUUUUAAAAAUUCUAUUUCUGCACUGAGUGUUAUUUUUAUACUCACUGAAGAAACUGAAAUUGCACUUUAAGAUUUAAGGGAAAUGUUAAACAGGAACGAUUUUCUAAAAACAAGGUGAUACUCUACACUUUGCACAUGGCACUUUGAAUGUAAAAUGUUUUUCUAGAAGUGAAGAACGGGUAUUUGCUGGGGAGAGAAAUCCAGAUGAUGUUUUCCCAGUUUGUGGGAAUCUCAUGAGAAGGUGUGUGUGCUGCCGUUUAGGUGUUCUCUUUUUUUUUUUUUUCCUGUUCGGCUUCUUCACCAAGCCACUGGGUAGCAUUUUUGCUUCGAUGCCUUGUUCCUCUUUUAUGCCUUCUAGGCCAGUGCUUCUCAUCUUGAAAGGGGAUGUGAUGGCUUCCAGGCACAUGGGACCAACUCCUUGCUCCGGUCUGAAAAGACACACGUCGCCUUCCCUUCCCGGAAGCUCGCAGGCCUCUGUGCCUCCUGGGCUGGUUCUCAAGCCCAGGACAGUGCCAAGAGGAUGAGCCCCAGGCCUUCUGCACAGCAAGACCCCUGGACUCCCCCACCAUGGAGCCCUGGGGCGGGCUGGUCUGCAGAGCAGCGGCCUGGGACCUGCACUUUAAGAAGCGCUGUCUGAUUUGAGUGGUGCUUAACAAAGCAGUAUGAGGAAGGAGCAAUGACAGGGGAGGACUCAUGGUCAAGCCACACAGCAGGGGCAGGAAGCCCGCGGCCCUUGCUGUGAGAAGAGCUCAGAUCAUUUUCACGUGCUGCUGUGACAGGCAGAGGAGGCUUAAGAAUAAUAGGAGUUUUGGAAGACAGAUUUGAUGGCAUACCCAAUAUAAGAAAUGGAUUAUGAGUAGGUGUAAAAUUGUCAUCUUUACUCUCUGUGUGCUUUCAGUUUACUCAAGGUCUUAGGCAAUGUCUUAACUACAAUUCCAGUUUUUCUCUCUCUGAGAAUGGAUUGCUUUGGCUGGGGAUUACUCACGGUGAACUUGCUUUGCGGGGAGAGUUGCCGACUGUCUUAAUUACAUUUUGAAAAACACAACAACUUGGGGUUAAACUGGAGAAGUUAAUGAUGAAUGCAGUCUGGGGUUCUUCCCCGGCUGCCUUCCCCUGCAGCCGCCCUGGAGGAGGCUGGCUGGCUCGCUCGCUCAGGAGUCCUCAGCGAUUCUUCUUUAUUCAGACAAAGGGACCUAAACUCUGCAGCCAAUGUUGCAGGACCCAAGUGGUCUGUCUCUGCCACCACCUCCUGCUCCCGAUGGCAAAUAAACAGGACAAAAGGAAA